UGGAGAUACCGGUAAACAUUAUUAAUAAGAUGUCAGAGGGAGGAGAGGAUUUAGUCACAACCAAUGGUACUCUACAGAGACACAUAAACACACAGGCUGAUAAAACACGUCAUAAAUGUGAUGUGUGUGCUAAAGAAUUUAGUCAGAGUUAUACCUUAAAGAGACACAUGAGGAAGCACACCGGUGAAACACCAUAUAAAUGUGAUAUGUGUGCUAGAGGAUUUAGUCAAAGUAGUGACUUAAAGAAGCAUAUAAGAACACAUACAGGUGAAAAACCAUAUAAAUGUGAUGUUUGUGGUAGACAAUUUUCCCGAAAUAGUUUCCUCACUGGACAUAUGCUAAUACAUACUGGAGUUAAACCUUAUGACUGUGAUGUAUGUGGUAAAAGUUUUGGUAAGCUUUGGAAUUUACAGAGACACAUGAGAACACAUACAACUGAUAAACCUUAUGAUUGUGAUGUAUCUGGUAAAAAGUUAUGUAGCCUUGGCAAUUCGCAGAGACACAUGAGAACCGAUACUGGAGAAAAACCUCAUGACUGUGAUAUAUGUGGUAAAGGGUUUAGUCAUCGUGGUAAUUUAAAUGUCCACAUGAGAACACAUACAGGUGAAAAACCUUAUGAUUGUGACGUAUGUGGUAAAGUGUAUAGUCAGUCAAGUAGUUUACAAAGACACAUAAGAACACACACAGGGGAUAAACCUUAUGAUUGCGAUGUAUGUGGCAAAGGGUUUAGUGA
RNAcentral lists this long non-coding RNA (733 nucleotides) under Mytilus galloprovincialis (Mediterranean mussel). The record is from RNAcentral. Lineage: Eukaryota; Metazoa; Mollusca; Bivalvia; Mytilida; Mytilidae.